AUAUUAUUCUGUUAUACAAAGCUAUCCUGUCCUACUUUGUGUGCAGACCCUCCGCUUGGUUUUCCUUUUAUGUUGCACAGAAUUUUCUAUAAGGGUCUCUUAGAAUCUAACCUGUCUUUGAAGGUAGUCAGCAAAAGCUCACAAAGAGGUCUAUUGUUGUUUUCUGCUUAUUUAUUCUCUCAAUGAAAAGAUUUUCACUUGUUUCAGACAAGAUAGCUUUUUUCCUUGGCAUUACCUUCCUUUUCCAGAAACUUCUGCAGUGAUCGAGAAAGAAAAACAGUUUCACAAAAGGUCAUAUUUUCUUAUUUCAUUUCCUGCUGCAAAUAGGCUAUUUUUUUUUUCCCCAGACUUCUAGUUUGACUGCUAUAUUGAAAUUUGUAACUAUAUUUAUAAUUCCCGCUCCCUUGGACCUCCUUUUAUAUUUUUCUACAAAACCUAGAAAGAAGAGGAAUGGAAUCCUGAAACUGAAUAAUGGAUGCUGAAAAUAAUUCAGGAAGGUCAUUCUGUCAUUUAAAGGUCAUCUUCAUCCACUUUUUCCAGCAAGCUGUCAUCUCUUUAGUAUUUACAACAGCUACAGGAGAUAUUUUACACUUAUUUGUCAAUUGCUCUUCUCAUAAGAGGGCAGGAUCAUUCAGGCUGGAAGGAACCUCAUGAUGCUGAAAAAUUCUACGGGCAGAGGCUGCAUAGCUCCUCUGGGCAGCCUGUACACUAAGGAAUAAAUGGCUUAUGAAGAUGCA
RNAcentral lists this long non-coding RNA (737 nucleotides) under Anas platyrhynchos platyrhynchos (common mallard). RNAcentral describes it as "lncRNA (ENSAPLG00000017577.1)". The record is from RNAcentral. Lineage: Eukaryota; Metazoa; Chordata; Aves; Anseriformes; Anatidae.